AUUCAUCUGACGAGUCCCAAAUAGGACGAAAUGCGCAUCUUGGAU
This 45-nucleotide non-coding RNA is filed under the name Schistosoma margrebowiei. Lineage: Eukaryota; Metazoa; Platyhelminthes; Trematoda; Strigeidida; Schistosomatidae. The record is from RNAcentral.